UGGGGUAGUGUGAUACCAUAGUGGGUGAGAUAAGAGCCCACCAGAGGAUGGUUCAGUACACGGGGUGAGAGACUGACCCCAGACUCUGGGGGGAGGCAGCAGCCCAAAAUCUUGGGCAAGGGGGCAAUGCGGAAUCCAGCCCAAUGGGGGAAACCAAGAAGCAGUGACGGUGGUAGAGCGAAGAAAUGGUUGAGCAGGUUAACCUUUAUCAUCAGGGAAGAGGAUGGCGGUUCCUGGCUGAGUAACCCCGGCCAAAUUCGGUCCCGCCAGCGGGGUUAUUACUGGGGGGCCAAGGUUUUCUGGAUUUUAUGGGGGUAAAGGGGGGGUAGGUGGCACAUCAAGUUCAAUGUGAAAAUCCCCGGCUCAAAUUUGGGAAUGCCUUUGAAUAUGGUUUGCUAGAAGUCAGGAGAAGGAAGGUGAAUUUCCAGUGGAACGGUGAAAUGGGUAAAUAUUAGGAGGAACUCCAGUGGGGAAGGGCACCCAUUGGACUGUAACUGACCAUGAGGCUCGAAAGCGUGGGAGCAAACCAGGAAGAUUACCUGGUAGUUCACAUCCGUAAACGAUGAUUUAUAGGCUCGGGGUCAAAAGACCUUUGGUGCCGUAGCAAACGCAUAAGU
Molecule: ribosomal RNA, 617 nt
Filed under: uncultured bacterium
Lineage: Bacteria
Description: bacterial SSU rRNA
Rfam family: Bacterial small subunit ribosomal RNA
Source: RNAcentral